CAGUAGCCACGGUAAUACAGAGGGUGCAAACGUUGUUCGGAAUUACUGGGCGUAAAGCGUGUGUAGGCGGCCUUGCAAGUCGGAUGUGAAAGCCCCGGGCUCAACCCGGGAAGUGCACCCGAAACUGCAAGGCUUGAGUACCGGAGAGGUUGGUGGAAUUCUCGGUGUAGAGGUGAAAUUCGUAGAUAUCGAGAGGAACACCGGUGGCGAAGGCGGCCAACUGGACGAGUACUGACGCUGAGACACGAAAGCGUGGGUAGCAAACAGGAUUAGAUACCCCUGUAGUCCCUGUCUCUUAUAC
This 301-nucleotide ribosomal RNA is filed under the name uncultured bacterium. Its description in RNAcentral is "partial 16S ribosomal RNA". It matches the Rfam family "Bacterial small subunit ribosomal RNA", at positions 509 to 807 of the family's 1533-position model. The record is from RNAcentral.